UGACCUAGAUAGAUAGACAUAGAUAGAUAGAUGACAUAGAUAGAUAGAUAGAUAGAUAGAUAGAUAGAUAGAUGAUAGAUAGAUAAGAUAGAUAGAUGACAUAGAUAGGUAGAUAGAUGACCUAGAUAGAUGAUAGAUAGAUAGACAGAUGAUAGAUGGUAGAUAGAUAGAUAGAUGACAUAGAUAAAUAGAUAGAUAGAUAGAUAUGUAGAUAGAUAGAUGAUAGAUAGAUGAUAGAUAGAUAGAUAGAUGAUAGAUGACAUAGAUAGAUAGAUAGAUGACAUAGAUAGAUAGAUAGAUAGAUGACAUAGAUAGAUAGAUAGAUAGAUAGAUAGAUGAUUGAUAGAUGAUAGAUAGAUAGAUAGAUAAAUAGAUAAAGAUAGAUAGAUGAUAGAUAGAUAAGAUAGAUGAUAGACAGAUAGAUGAUAGAUAGAUGACAUAGAUAGAUAGAUAGAUAGAUAGAUAGAUAGAUAGAUAGAUGAUAGAUAGAUGAUUGAUAGAUGAUAGAUAGAUAGAUAGAUGAUAGAUAAGAUAGAUAGAUAGAUGAUAGAUAGAUGACAUAGAUAGAUAGAUGAUAGAUAGAUGAUUGAUAGAUGAUAGAUAGAUAGAUAAAGAUAGAUGAUAGAUAGAUAGAUAGAUAGAUAGAUGAUAGAUAAGAUAGAUAGAUGACACAGAUAAGUAGAUAGAUGACGUAGAUAGAUGAUACAUAGAUAAAUAGAUA
This 721-nucleotide long non-coding RNA is filed under the name Lynx pardinus (Iberian lynx). Lineage: Eukaryota; Metazoa; Chordata; Mammalia; Carnivora; Felidae. The record is from RNAcentral.